UCCUUGAUGUCUAGUGGUUAGGAUUUGGUGCUCUCACUGCAGCAGCCUGGGUUCAUUUCUCAGUCAGGGAA
Molecule: transfer RNA, 71 nt
Filed under: Homo sapiens (human)
Lineage: Eukaryota; Metazoa; Chordata; Mammalia; Primates; Hominidae
Description: tRNA-Glu (CTC) 5-1 (TRE-CTC5-1)
Source: RNAcentral